UACGUAGGCAGCAAGCGUUGUUCGGAAUUACUGGGCGUAAAGAGUGUGUAGGCGGUGUUCUAAGUCUGUUGUGAAAUCUCCCGGCUUAACUGGGAGGGUGCGGCGGAAACUGGAAUGCUAGAGGAUGGGAGAGGUAAGCGGAAUUCCUGGUGUAGCGGUGAAAUGCGUAGAUAUCAGGAGGAACACCGGUGGCGAAGGCGGUUCUCUGGGCCUGUACUGACGCUGAGGAGCGAAAGCGUGGGGAGCGAACAGG
RNAcentral lists this ribosomal RNA (253 nucleotides) under uncultured bacterium. RNAcentral describes it as "partial 16S ribosomal RNA". It matches the Rfam family "Bacterial small subunit ribosomal RNA", at positions 524 to 776 of the family's 1533-position model. The record is from RNAcentral.